UUACAGCAGAGUGUCUUGGUGAACCAGAU
Molecule: non-coding RNA, 29 nt
Filed under: Mus musculus (house mouse)
Lineage: Eukaryota; Metazoa; Chordata; Mammalia; Rodentia; Muridae
Source: RNAcentral